RNAcentral lists this ribosomal RNA (253 nucleotides) under uncultured bacterium. RNAcentral's name for it is "partial 16S ribosomal RNA". It matches the Rfam family "Bacterial small subunit ribosomal RNA", at positions 524 to 776 of the family's 1533-position model. The record is from RNAcentral.
UACGAAGGGAGCUAGCGUUGUUCGGAAUUACUGGGCGUAAAGGGCGCGUAGGUGGCUUAGCAAGUUGGGUGUGAAAGCCCAGGGCUCAACCCUGGAAUUGCAUUCAAGACUGCUUUGCUUGAAUUCGGUAGAGGUUGGUGGAAUUCCCAGUGUAGAGGUGAAAUUCGUAGAGAUUGGGAAGAACACCCGUGGCGAAGGCGGCCAACUGGACCGACAUUGACACUGAGGCGCGAAAGCGUGGGGAUCAAACAGG